AGUCAGCCUGUCCUUUGAAGCUUGGAAGUCAGGCAUUGACUUCUCUCUAGCUGUGAAAGUCCUAGAUGGCAU
This 72-nucleotide microRNA precursor is filed under the name Chlorocebus sabaeus (green monkey). Its description in RNAcentral is "miRNA (ENSCSAG00000021553.1)". Lineage: Eukaryota; Metazoa; Chordata; Mammalia; Primates; Cercopithecidae. The record is from RNAcentral.